GGAGGCGCGUCACUUCCUGUUUCUUUAGGGGAACGUGGCUUUCCCUGCAGCGGCCGUCAUCCCAUCUGCGUCUCGGCUGCAGCGGCCGGAACUGGAGUCGGAACCCGAGGGCAGCCUCGCCAUGGACUCGGCCCUCAAAGACCCGCAUAACGGCAGCGCCGAGGCAGGCAGCCCGGCCAACGGCACGACGCGGCCGCCUUCCACGCCCGAGGGCAUCGCGCUGGCCUACGGCAGCCUCCUGCUCAUGGCGCUGCUGCCCAUCUUCUUCGGCGCCCUGCGCUCGGUGCGCUGCACCCGCGGCAAGAACGCUUCGGACAUGCCCGAGACCAUCACCAGCCGGGACGCCGCCCGGUUCCCCAUCAUCGCCAGCUGCACGCUCUUAGGGCUCUACCUCUUUUUCAAAAUAUUCUCCCAGGAGUACAUCAACCUCUUGCUGUCCAUGUAUUUCUUCGUGCUGGGAAUCCUGGCCCUGUCCCACACCAUCAGCCCCUUCAUGAAUAAGGUUUUUCCAGCCAAUUUCCCAAGUCGGCAGUACCAGCUGCUCUUCACACAGGGCUCCGGGGAGAACAAGGAAGAGAUCAUCAAUUAUGAGUUUGACACCAAGGACCUGGUGUGCCUGGGCCUGAGCAGCAUUGUUGGCGUCUGGUACCUGCUAAGGAAGCACUGGAUUGCCAAUAACCUCUUUGGCCUGGCCUUCUCCCUUAACGGGGUGGAGCUCCUGCACCUGAAUAACGUCAGCACCGGCUGCAUCCUGCUGGGCGGCCUCUUCAUCUACGAUGUCUUCUGGGUAUUUGGCACCAACGUGAUGGUGACAGUGGCCAGGUCCUUUGAGGCACCAAUAAAAUUGGUGUUUCCCCAGGAUCUGCUGGAGAAGGGCCUCGAAGCGGACAACUUUGCCAUGCUGGGACUCGGCGAUAUAGUCAUUCCAGGGAUCUUCAUCGCCUUGCUGCUGCGUUUUGACAUCAGCUUGAAGAAGAACACCCACACCUACUUCUACACCAGCUUUGCAGCCUACAUCUUCGGCCUGGGCCUCACCAUCUUCAUCAUGCACAUCUUCAAGCAUGCCCAGCCUGCCCUCCUCUACCUGGUCCCCGCCUGCAUUGGCUUUCCCGUCCUGGUGGCACUGGCCAAAGGAGAAGUUACAGAGAUGUUCAGCUACGAGUCCUCAGCGGAAAUCCUGCCUCACACCCCGAGGCUCACCCACUUCCCCACAGUCUCGGGCUCCCCAGCCAGCCUGGCCGCCUCCAUGCAGCAGAAGCUAGCUGGCCCUCGCCGCCGGCGCCCGCAGAAUCCCAGCGCCAUGUAAUGCCCAGUGGGUGCCCACCUGCCCGCUUCCCCCCAGUACCCCGGGGCCCAAGUUAUGAGGAGUCAAAUCCUAAGGAUCCAGUGGUCGUGACAGAAUCCAAAGAGGGAACAGAGGCCUCGGCAUCAAAGGGGCUGGAGAAGAAGGAGAAAUGAUGCACCUGGUGCCUGACCCUCGGAGGGCCGGACCAGGCAGGCGGGGACGGACCAGCACAGGCCUGCACAAGGCAGAGGGCACCGGAAGCCUGGCGGCUCCAGGGAGGGGCAGGACAGGGGCAGCGGGAUCCCUCAAGUUGGGGGCUCUGUGACCUGCUUCCCCCUCCCCCUUCUGUGGCCUUCCUCUGCCCCUCCCCAUCCCCUGCAGGCAAAGGAAGCCCCCAACUUCCCCCCACUCCCCCAGGUGCCAGAUGGGAAAAGUGGGUCUGAUUUUUAGAUUUUUGUAUUGUGGACUGACUUUGCCUCACAUUAAAAACUCAUCCCAUUGCCCAGGCAA
Rhinolophus ferrumequinum (greater horseshoe bat) is the source of this 1795-nucleotide RNA transcript. It is a transcript of the gene named histocompatibility minor 13, with no coding region annotated. NCBI's taxonomy places the organism in Eukaryota, Metazoa, Chordata, Mammalia, Chiroptera, Rhinolophidae. The record is from RefSeq and is a predicted model, not a curated record. The transcript is spliced from 13 exons.